AAGCUUAAUAUAUGCAUAAAAAUUUGGAUCAAGUACAUAAUUUAAAUUACAAAACAAAACUUUGUUUUCUUCUUUGAGUUUUUUUAAAUGCAUCAUUUUGUUUUUGAAUUAGGAAAAUUGCAUAUGAUGAAAAUCACACCAAUUGAAGUUAGAAGAAAAGCUCUAAUUGUAUUUUUAUUAAUAAAUAUUUAAUUUAAUUAAAAUGUAUUUUUAAAAAAGUUUUAUAAAUAUAAAAUAAUUGGGUUAAUUGUUAAAUUUUUAUAAGUUGAAGGUACUAUUAACAAUUAUUAACUAAAUAAAAAGAAAAUUAUUUGUGAAUAUUUUUUGGAGUAAGAAAAUGGAGUAGAACUCAACUCCAUUUUGGAAUUACACCAUUUUAGAGUAAAAAUUUGAGUAUUACAUUGGAGAUGCUCUAAAAGACUUAUUUGGUCUCAGUGGCGAAGCCAGCUUGAAAGGUGUGGGGGCCUGUGCACCCACAAUUAAAUUAAAAGUUUAAAAAAUUGUAUGUAGAACAUCAAAUAUUUGCUAGCUCAUAGGGUAAACAACAGUUUGUGCACCCCUAGUUUUGCAAGUUCGAUCUUUUUCCUAUGCAUAUUUAUUUUUCAUUAUCAAAGGUGCACCCAUUCAUUAAAUUGUCUAGCUUCGCCCCUGUUCGGUCUUAUACUUGGAUAAGGGUUAGUCACCACGUACAGUAUAGAUUCACACCAUUGAAAAUGUUCUGAUUCUUAUGCAACAAUUAAUGAUACACAACGAAUGAUGCAUAAAGGUGGAUUUAGUUUGGAUGCAUCAAAAUGUAUAUAUGGGAGCCUUGAACACACUCGCACAAACUUCAUAUUCUUCACAUAGUCUACACAGGUACCAAACAUUUAUAGGAUACCUACCUAUACCCUUCAAAUCCUUGAAUAUUUACUCUUGCCACUAUGUUUGAUCGUUGGAUGCUUUGGUCACUUCUCCAUCACUUUUUUAUGAUGCUAGACAGCCUAGACGGCUAGUUUAACCUUCUUAAUUUUUAUCUGUUCUCAAAUUUCCAAACUACUAGCCCGCCCAAAACAAUGGUUGAACCUAGGAAUUAUUAUCGUGUAAUGAAAUAAUAACAAAAAAAACAAAAUAAUUCCUUGUUUACCAAAAUCAAUUCCUUGUUUACCAGCCUAGGAAUUAUUAUCGGUGAAAUAAUAAUAACAAAAUAAUUCCUUGUUUACCAAAAAAAUUAAAAAAAAAAUAAUUCCUUUUAUAUAGAAAAUAAACAAAGUAAUCAAAAAUUUAUGUAUAUAAUAGAAAUAGGACAUGUAAAGAAAAGAUAAUUAAGGGAGAGAGGGUCACAUGGUUGUUUCAUCUCUUUCACCUCAUCUAAUGGAACCACUUGCAUCUAUAGUUUGAUUAGUUCAAUUCGGGUUUUUAGUUAAAGAAAAUUAUUGUUUGAUUAUACUUUUUGAAAAAAUAGAAUCAAAAUAAUUGAUUGCUAGACAUAAUGAUAAUUGUUUUAUCAAUUGACCGAAUCAAACCAAAUUUUUAAUUGAAGUCGAACUGAAAACUAAAAUUUGGGUUUGAUUCCGCUCAACCGGCUUGGUCCGGAAAAAGAAAUAUCAUACCUACUUGCAUAUGUUCCAACCGGCUUGGUUCCGCUCAACCGGAACUGAAAACUAAAAUUUGGGUUUGAUUCCGCUCAACCGGCUUGGUCCGGAAAAAGAAAUAUCAUACCUACUUGCAUAUGUUCCAAUAUCUGAGAUAGACAAAUGCACAGAUAUAAAUCACACCGAUGCAUCUAUCUAUCUAUAUAUCUAAUUAUAUAAAGUAAAAGUUUUCUUUCCUUAGAGAGUGCCACGUCAAUAAUUCGUUUCUUCCCAGCGCGACAUGUGUCCUCCUUAGCCAAAACUCACAGUUUCAAUUAUGCCUUUCUCAUAAUUUGGUGGGCCUUGCUCUUUAUUCAUCCCAGAACAAUGAGUCCAUCAUCAAGAGUAUUAGGGUUUCACGUUCUUCUUCCAUGAUGAAGCGAAGAGACCUUCGAUCUUUGAUACAUCGAUGGAGUUUCAAUGUUUGCAAUCCAUGUUAAUCAUGGCUCUAAGAAUCUUCGAUAUGGCGUUAUGUCUUCUCUUUGCGUAGACGAAAUAUUUCCCCUAAAUGAUUCGAGAUCCAUCCUUUAUCGUCUUCUUAACUCCACAGACCGAAGUGAGACAUGACCUGACACUGAAUGCGAGUUUACCCUCUGCAAGGCGGUGUUUCUACACUAUAUAAAGUUGGCUGAACACAAACCACAUGGUGGUGGAAGAUCUUUGCUGCUGUUGCUCAGUGUGAAGCGGGCUUUGU
This is a long non-coding RNA of Brassica rapa (field mustard), 2304 nucleotides long. RefSeq lists it as uncharacterized. The record is from RefSeq and is a predicted model, not a curated record. NCBI's taxonomy places the organism in Eukaryota, Viridiplantae, Streptophyta, Magnoliopsida, Brassicales, Brassicaceae.